This 88-nucleotide transfer RNA is filed under the name Deltaproteobacteria bacterium. Its description in RNAcentral is "tRNA-Ser". It matches the Rfam family "tRNA". From Rfam's summary of the family: Transfer RNA (tRNA) molecules are approximately 80 nucleotides in length. Their secondary structure includes four short double-helical elements and three loops (D, anti-codon, and T loops). Further hydrogen bonds mediate the characteristic L-shaped molecular structure. tRNAs have two regions of fundamental functional importance: the anti-codon, which is responsible for specific mRNA codon recognition, and the 3' end, to which the tRNAs corresponding amino acid is attached (by aminoacyl-tRNA synthetases). tRNAs cope with the degeneracy of the genetic code in two manners: having more than one tRNA (with a specific anti-codon) for a particular amino acid; and 'wobble' base-pairing, i.e. permitting non-standard base-pairing at the 3rd anti-codon position. Lineage: Bacteria; Pseudomonadati; Myxococcota; Myxococcia. RNAcentral also lists the same sequence under 3 other names. The record is from RNAcentral.
GGAGGGAUGGCUGAGUGGUCUAAAGCGGCGGUCUUGAAAACCGUUGAGGGUUAAACCUCCGUGGGUUCGAAUCCUACUCCCUCCGCCA